Molecule: ribosomal RNA, 645 nt
Filed under: uncultured fungus
Lineage: Eukaryota; Fungi
Description: eukaryotic LSU rRNA
Rfam family: 5.8S ribosomal RNA (bases 260-413)
Source: RNAcentral
AAGUCGUAACAAGGUUUCCGUAGGUGAACCUGCGGAAGGAUCAUUAUUGAAUAAAAACUUGUACAGGCUGUUUUGCUGGUCUCUGCGAAUGGGACAUGUGCACGCUUGUCAUUUUUAUUUUAUCCAUCUGUGCACGUAUUGUAGAUCUGGUUUGUGAAGAAUUCGCUAUGGCUGUUUGCCUUGUGAUUCUGUCAGAUCUAUGUUAUUUUUCACAACCCAAUUAUUAUGAAUAGAAGAAAGCUUUUUAAUAUAUAUAUACAACUUUCAGCAAUGGAUCUCUUGGCUCUUGCAUCGAUGAAGAACGCAGCGAAAUGCGAUAAGUAAUGUGAAUUGCAGAAUUCAGUGAAUCAUCGAAUCUUUGAACGCAUCUUGCGCUUCUUGGUAUUCCAAGGAGCAUGCCUGUUUGAGUGUCAUUACAACUCUUCAACUGCAUCAGUAUUUCAUUAUUGGUGUUAGAUUGAGUGAUGGGGGAUAAAUUGUACUUGUGGGCCCAAUGUUUCAUUAAAAAAAUGAAACAAGGUCUGCUCCCCUGAAAUGAAUUUGCAGUAAUCUGAGCAGGUGUGAUAAUUAUCUAUGCCUUUUGAGUGCUCUGCACGAAGCAGAUAAACGCUGUAGUAAAAAUAUUUUCUUGACAAGCUUGACCUC